CAAUAGCGUAUAUUAAAGUUGUUGCGGUUAAAAAAGCUCGUAGUUGGAUUUCUGCUGAGGACGACCGGUCCGCCUCACCGCGAGUACUGGUCCGGCUGGACCUUUCCUUCUGGGGAACCUCAUGGCCUUCACUGGCUGUGGGGGAACCAGGACUUUUUACUGUGAAAAAAUUAGAGUGUUCAAAGCAGGCCUUUGCUCGAAUACAUUAGCAUGGAAUAAUAGAAUAGGACGUGUGGUUCUAUUUUGUUGGUUUCUAGGACCGCCGUAAUGAUUAAUAGGGAUAGUCGGGGGCGUCAGUAUUCAGCUGUCAGAGGUGAAAUUCUUGGAUUUGCUGAAGACUAACUACUGCGAAAGCAUUCGCCAAGGAUGUUUUCAUUGAUCAAGAACGAAAGUUAGGGGAUCGAAGAUGAUCAGAU
Molecule: ribosomal RNA, 416 nt
Filed under: uncultured eukaryote
Lineage: Eukaryota
Description: SSU rRNA
Rfam family: Eukaryotic small subunit ribosomal RNA
Source: RNAcentral